UUUCUCUUUUUUUUAAUAUGUAAUUUUGUUAUAUAAGCCUUAUUAUUAUUAUUGUUAUCAGGACAGAGUCUUGCUCUAUUGCUUAGGCUGGAGUGCAGUGGUAAAAUCUCAGCUCACUACAACCUCUGCCUCCCUGGUCGAGUGAUCCUUGCCCCUCAGUCAUGUGAGUAGCUGGGAUUACAGGCAUGCACCACUACACCUGACUAAUUUUUGUAUUUUUAGUAGAGAUAGAGUUUUGUCAUGCUGGCCAGGCUGGUCUCAAACUCUUGGCUUCAAGUGAUCCACCUGCCUUGGCCUCCCAGAGUGCUUACGGGAAUGAUUACAGGAGUGAGCCACCAUGCCCAGCCAAGCCCAUUUAAUUUUUAAUGAGAGCUGGACAUUGUAUAUGUAUAUGGCAGUUUAAUGUGAUCUGAGGCUUAAAGAUAUCUUUCUCUAACGACUUUUCCUUUUGACCAGAAUGUUAGGCCACUAACAAUCUAGAAUCACUUUAAUCCAAUGAAGAAAUGAGCUGAUUUAAAACUUGGUUUUCAUUCCUGCCAGAGUUAGUCUAUUUCCUGUUAACCCUUUCACCCUUUCUAAUAGCAUAGAUCCCUUUUUAGGUUUAUAUGGUCCCAAUCUGAAGUGUGAGGGUUCCCUAUGCCCUUCGUCUUUAGUGUUCUGAACUCCAAUUUAUGUCUCCUUAGCCCAGGGAGUCUGUUAAGAUCUCUGCCCAGCUUCUCAUCCUGUCAACCAUCUCUUCUGGAAUUGGCCUUAGUUUCUAGAGAAACAUCUCAAAAUAUCUGGGGUUUUUUUUCCUCCUGGAUUUUGACUCCAGAAUUCCUCAGUGCCUUGUUCUCUAAUGCUUUAAACAGAAAUUUUUCCUAUUUCCUACCUUUCUAGUUUUCAGUGGGAGGGUUAAUCUAAUUACCUCAACAACCAUUACUUAAAGUAGAAUUCCCAAGUGAUUGGCCCACAUUAAAACUAACUUUGUAUUUAGUUGUAUUUAUACAGCCAACUAACUAUUGGCCCUCUAACUUUCAACAUUAGAAAGUUAAUUGAUACAAUAAACCACAUUUUCAUAUUAAAGCAAAAACACAUACAAUGGUCUCAACAGCUGCAAUCAUUACUUAAAGUAGAAUUCCCAAGUUCUGUAUUCCCAAGUUCUGCUUCUUAGUGUACAGCAGCUAAUUUUCUUCUUGACAGAUAGUUGAAAGCAAUUCCUGUAGCUGUGGCCACCUUUCUUUACUUUCCUUUUCCCUUUCCCAUUCCUUUCCCUUUCCUUUCCUUUUGACACCCAGACUGGAGUGCAGUGGCGCCAUCUUGGCUCACUGCAACCUUUGCCUCCUGGGUUCAAGCAAUUUUGUACCUCAGUCUCCCAAGUAGCUGGGAUUGCAGGUGCCCACCACCACACGUGGGUGAUUUGUUUAUUUUUAGUAGAGAUGGGGUUUCACCAUCUUGGCCAGACUGGUCUUGAACUCCGGACCUUGUGAUCUACCCACCUCAGCCUCCCAAAGUGCUGGGAUUACAGUACCGGCGUGAGCCACCUCACCUGGCCUGUGGCCAUCUUUUCUAAGAUUUCUAAUGGAUUUUAAAAAAAUAUUUAAGUGUUUUUAUUUCAUUUCAAUUUUUAUUUCACAGAUACUGUUUGAUUUCUCUCUGAUAAUUUUUAACAUAUCCAAAAUCAUUCCUGAGCUGUUAAAUAAAACCGUUUUUUUCAUUGGGUUUUAUUCUUGUUUUUUUUGUUGGCUUUGUUUCUUAGUGUUUUUAUUUCUUCAUGUGUGGGGCAUUUUUGACAUGGUCAUUUUGAGUAGUAAUUUUAGAGUUCUAUUUUCUCUCCUUUCCCUCUUCCAUGUUCCCCUCUCCAUCUAAUAGAUUUCCUGUUGCCUCUACCUGUUCUUUCUACCUACCACUUAGGGAAGAAUCAGGUAUAAAAACAGUGGGCUCCUGUAAUCCCAGCACUUUGGGAGGCCAAGGUGGGUGGAUCACGAGGUCAAGAGAUCGAGACCAUCCUGGUCAACAUGGUCAAACCCCGUCUCUACUAAGAAUACAAAAAAUUAGCUGGGCACGGUGGCUUGUGCCUGUAAUCCCAGCUACUCGGGAGGCUGAGGCAGGAGAAUUGCCUGAACCCAGGAGGCGGAGGUUGCGGUGAGUCGAGAUCGCGCCAUUGUACUCCAGCUUGGAUAACAAGAGCAAAACUCCGCCUUAAAAAAACAAAAAACAAACAAAAAAAAAACAACAGUGGGCUAGCCUGGGCAUCGUGGCUCACACCUGCAAUCUUAGCUCUUUGGGCGGACCAGGCAGGAGAAUUGCUUGAGCCCAGUAGUUGGAGACCAGCCUUUCAAGAUGUAGUGAGAACCCCAUCUCUACAAAAAAAAGAGGCGGGGGGGAGCCAGGAAUGGUGGCACGUGCCUGUAGUCCCCGCUCUUGGGAAGCUGAGGUAAGAGGGAUCACUUGGGCUAUUGCCUGCCUGAGUCACGUGCCGGGUGUGGUGGUGGGGGGAAGCUGGAAGGCGUAGUUCUCCUUUCCCAGCCCCGCUGCCCGUCCGCCAUGUUUUCAGGCCGAGUCUGGCUUGGUGUUCCCUCGUAAGGAAAUGGCCGGGGAGCUCCAGGGGACCCAGGCGCCGUCACUUCGGCGGAGCCUGGGCUGACCAGCCCGGACAGCGGGGUAAACCUGAUCUGCGCGAGGUGUUUGUACUGCUAUUUAUUUUUGUGAAGAGGCAAAUCAUGAACUUUGCAAUGAAAUCUCAAAGGGGACCUCAUGUCCCUGUGGGGGACAGUGCCCCCAAGGAUGGGGUUGAGAUAAUCAGUAAGGCAGAGAGCAAUGAGAAGAGUUACCUUUACAUGACUUUAGACUUACAAGAGUCCCACAAAUCAUCUAAUUCCACCAUUCAUGUUACCAACAAGUCCAAGAAAAGGAAGCAGUUUACCAGAAGACAUAGAGGUUGCUACAACCAUUUUUGUAGGAUGAAAGCUCUGCAUGCCAUUGGUGCCUCUGAGAUCCCAUUUCAUUCUGAAGGCAGGCAUCCCUGUUCCUUAAUGGGCAAGAAUUUCCGCUCCUACCUGCUAGAUCUGCGAAACACUAGUACCCCUUUCGAGGGUGUACGCAAAGCCCUCAUUGAUACCCUGUUGUAUGGCUAUGAAACAGCCCUCUGUGGGACAGGGGGUCAAAGCACGAAUUGGGAGCUCUCAGCGACAACACCAGUCAGCAGCCAAAGACCUAACUCAGUCCCCCGAAGUCUCCCCAACAACCAUCCAAGUGACAUACCUCCCCUUCAGUCAGAAGAGUAAACGUGCCAAGCACUUCCUUGAAUUGAAGAGCUUUAAGGACAACUAUAACACAUUGGAGAGUACUCUGUGAUGGAGCUGAAGGACCUUUGCCGUAGGUUAAGCCAGUCAGUUGCAAUGUGCAAGACAGACUGCUUGCCAGGCUGCCCUCGGGACAUCUGACUCAGCAGCCCCAGACUGUAUCCAUUGAAGUUCCUGUUGUAUCCAGAGUUCUUAGAACUUCUGCCGGAAGGGUAAUUCCCUAACCCUUCCUUAUGGGCAUUUUUAGAAGAUUGGCUAAGACUAUUUUGCCCCAAUAGCACUUUUUUCUGCAUUUACAUUCAGGUGUUAUUCUUUUUUUUUGAGACGGAGUUUUGCUGUUGUUACCCAGACUGGAGUGCAGUGGCACGAUCUCGGCUCACCGCAACCUCUGCCUCCUAGGUUCAAGCAAUUCUCCUGCCUCAGCCUCCCAAGUAGCUGGGACUACAGGCUGCGCCACCAUGCCCAGCUAAGUUUUGUAUUUUUUGAAGAGCUGGGGUUUCACCUUGUUGACCAGGAUGGUCUUGAUCUCUUGACCUCGUGAUCCACCCGCCUCAGCCUCCCGAAGUGCUGGGAUUAUAGGCGUGAGCCACCGUGCCCUGCCUUCAGGUGUUAUUCUUAAUGUUUCUGUCAAAGCUUCUUAAAAAUCUUCACUUGGUUUCAGCAAUAGUUCACCUGCCUUGUUCCAGGUUUAUUUAAUUCCAAAGGUGAGAGUUGGAGUGAGAUGUCUUCCAUAUCUAUACCUUUGUGUACAGUUGAAUGGAAACUGUUUGGGUUUAGGGCAUCUCAGAGUUGAUUGAUGGAAAAGACAGACAGUAACUGGUGGGAGGGUCAAGUGGGGAGGUUGGUGGUGUGUGGAACGACUUACCCUUGUGCUCCACUUAAACCAGAUGUGUUACAGCUUUCCUGACAUGCAAGGAUCUAUCUACUUUCAUUCCACACUCACGAAUAAAUUGAAUCAAAGGGAAUGUUCUGGCACCUGACAUAAUUUGCCAGGCUAUAAGACAAUAGGAAGGAAUGAUUUCCCCUAACAAGCCAAUGCACUGGUCUGACUUUAUAAAUUAUUUAAUAAAAUGAACUAUUAUAAAAU
Non-coding RNA from Callithrix jacchus (white-tufted-ear marmoset), 4371 nucleotides. The record is from RefSeq and is a predicted model, not a curated record. NCBI's taxonomy places the organism in Eukaryota, Metazoa, Chordata, Mammalia, Primates, Cebidae.